Molecule: unclassified non-coding RNA, 206 nt
Filed under: Hevea brasiliensis (rubber tree)
Lineage: Eukaryota; Viridiplantae; Streptophyta; Magnoliopsida; Malpighiales; Euphorbiaceae
Source: RNAcentral
AUCCAGGCGGCCAAGCAGGUCGAUACGACCGCCUGGACCAUCGAAUCCCUGAUCGAACCACCGCCGGAAACCUGGUUGACCGCGAACCUUUCGCCGGGGGACCGCCUCGGAUUUGACCCAUGGCUGCACACUUCGGCAGCAGCGGAGCGCCUCGCCAGAGCCUGCGAAAAGGCCGGUGCUGAACUGGUCGCGGUGGACAGCAAUCC